Molecule: non-coding RNA, 400 nt
Organism: Erinaceus europaeus (western European hedgehog)
Lineage: Eukaryota; Metazoa; Chordata; Mammalia; Eulipotyphla; Erinaceidae
Source: the annotation of a RefSeq genome assembly
AGAUGCACCCUGAGCUGGGAACUGUCUGGUCCCUGAGGCUGCCAUGGGCUCCCUGCUCCUCUGCUGUGUGGCCCUGUGUCUCCUGGGAGCAGGCUCAGUGGAUUCUGGAGUCAUUCAAACCCCCAAAUAUAUGGUCAAAGCAAGAAGGCAGUCAGUGAACCUGGAAUGUUCUUAUGAGCCUGGACACCUUUAUGUGUACUGGUACCAGCAGACCCAGGGCCAGGGUCCUCAGUUUUUGGUUCAGUAUUACGAUGGCCAAGAGCGAAACAAAGAGAAAUUACCUGACAGGUUCACAGUCCAGCAGUUUAAAGACAGCUAUCACUCUAAGCUGACUGCAAGCUCCUUGGAGCUGGAAGACUCAGCCCUGUAUCUCUGUGCCAGCAGCUUAGCACAGCCCUGA